RNAcentral lists this ribosomal RNA (252 nucleotides) under uncultured bacterium. RNAcentral describes it as "partial 16S ribosomal RNA". It matches the Rfam family "Bacterial small subunit ribosomal RNA", at positions 524 to 776 of the family's 1533-position model. The record is from RNAcentral.
UACGUAGGCAGCGAGCGUUGUUCGGAGUUACUGGGCGUAAAGAGUGCGUAGGCGGUUUCGUAAGUCUGGUGUGAAAUCUCCCGGCUUAACUGGAGGGUGCGCCGGAAACUGCGGAGCUGGAGUGUGGGAGAGGCAAGCGGAAUUCCUGGUGUAGCGGUGAAAUGCGUAGAUAUCAGGAGGAACACCUGCGGUGUAGACGGCUUGCUGGACCACUACUGACGCUGAGGCACGAAAGCGUGGGGAGCAAACAGG